AUGCUCAAUGAAACGGCAUGUGUAGUAAAAUUGGAACAAUACAGAGGAGAUUAGCAUGGCCAUACACAGUGAUGAUAUGAAAAUUUAUGAAGCGUUCCAAAUUUUU
Mastomys coucha (southern multimammate mouse) is the source of this 106-nucleotide small nuclear RNA. The record is from RefSeq and is a predicted model, not a curated record. NCBI's taxonomy places the organism in Eukaryota, Metazoa, Chordata, Mammalia, Rodentia, Muridae.